GACCCAGCCUGGAACAAAUACCCCGCGCGCGCCGCAGGCAGACGGAUCCCUGGACCCCUAGACCCCCGGCUUCCCUGGGCGGUGCAGACACCCGCGAGUCCCCAGGCCGCCGCCGCCGCCUCUGCUGGGCUGCAAGGGACGCGCAGCGGGGUCGGGCCUGGGGCGCAGGGUCGGGGUUGGGCGCCGGGGCUGGGGGAGUGAGGGGUUGUGCUUCCAGGUGAGCCGGCCGGGAGGAGAGGCAAGUGGAGUAGAGGCUGCCAGCCGAGGUCCCAUUAAAGUUGUCACUCGGGGGGAACAAGGAAUCUUCCGCCCCCGCCUAGUGUAGACCCUCGCAGUGCGGGCUGCCACCCUGCUGUCCCGCGCCGGGGGUGAGGAGGGACGAGCACGCGACUGUCACCCCCCCCCCCCACACACACACACUGUCCUCCAAAGGCAGGGCUGCGCGCGGGUCUCGACCCAGGGCACAAAGCGCGUCUCUGCAGGGACCACUGCGAUUUCUCAACAGGCGAGAAUCCAAGAAAAAGAAGCUGGAGAGAGUGGCGCACGAGAGAAACAGGGAGGAUUUUACCAAGGCUCCCGCAAACGCCAAGCGGAGGGGAGGCAGAGGUGCAGGAAUAGUCCCCGGGUGCCGGGGCUGCUGUCUGAUACUCUUCGGGGCUCCAAGACAGAGCCGGGUGAAAACCGGAGACCGUGAGCCCCGCCGAGGUCCGGAAACGUGGCCAGUUUCCCCUUCACCCGGGCGGCGGCGUUCACAGCGGGGGGGCGCCAGGGUGGAAGCCCCGGAGAGGGAAAGGUCCCCUGCACGCCCCCACGAGGUCACCGCUUCCCUAGCCUUAGGUGCCUGGCCUGGCGCAGCGCUCUGAGCGAGGCAGCCUUUUCCGGACGUCUCUCAGUCCCUGGUACAUUCCGGCAAGUGGCCCUGGAGGGAAAGCGCCCCCGCUGGCCCUUUUCUGUCAUACUCGAUUUUGUGGCCAAAAGGGGUCUCCUAAGCGCGCCAGGCCCCUGCGGUGGACUGGGGGUCGCCCCCGACGCGGUUCCUCUUGCUGUCUAGCCCUCUCCCGCGCAGAUCCGACCAACAGCGCCUUAUUUGGGCAUGCAACCCCACACCGUCAAUUAGAUCAAAACGCUCACACAGAGCUCCUUUCUCCCCCCCUUAAAGUAGGUCAUUCUCUUUAUUUCCUACUUGUAAAUUAUUUGUGUCUAAUUCUCCUCCUGAAAAAUAAUCAGCUGCAAGGAGCUUUGAGCAUCCUAAGAGCAGCUGUUAUUCUCAGGCUUGCUUCUGACUUGGAGGGCUUUUCAAGAAAGAGGAGGAGGCAUUUGGCCCGUCAUGGUUUUGAAGUCCCUCCGUUUCCAAAAGAAGAAACUUUUUUUUUUUUUGAUGUAUUUUAUUUUGUUUUGUUUUUCUACCCCAUCCUUUUCCUCCAGGCAAGUAGGUUUCACGCCGCCUUUAGAGCGUGGCCAUGACUAAUAUUACUAAAGGAUGAAAUUGCCUACUUCUAACCGGGUUUAAAGCAGAAUUUAAAGUCACCUCCCUUCCUUUUUUGCUUUGGAAGAGAUUCCAACUCCCUUUUCCUACUCCCUUUUGGGAACAUGUUGAACAAGCAUUAAAUGAUCUUUUAGGAAACCUGGAAUGUCCUGUAGUAAUAACUCAUCAAAUAAUUCUGCAGUGCAAGAAGUAUUUUUGCUGUGGUCUCUUUUUCUCUGUUGUCCAGUAGAUGCCCCUACUAAAUGUGGUUUCUGCCUUUUUAGUCUUGGA
Macaca mulatta (Rhesus monkey) is the source of this 1756-nucleotide non-coding RNA. The record is from RefSeq and is a predicted model, not a curated record. Lineage: Eukaryota; Metazoa; Chordata; Mammalia; Primates; Cercopithecidae.